UGGUGAGUGGGGUCGGACAGGCGGGGUAAUAAAGGUGGUGCAAGGUGUAGAUGGGUUUACGGGGCGUAACGCGUGUGUAGGUGUUUGGGGAAGUCAAUUGUCAAAGCCCCGGGGGUGACUCGGGAACUGCGUUGGAUACAGUAUGACGAUAAUGCGGUAGAGGGAGGCGGAACUCCAGGUGGAGCGGUGAAAUGCGUAGAUAUCGGGAAGAACACCAAUGGCGGAGGCAACCUCCUUGGCCUGAAUUGACGCUGAGACACGAAAGCGUGGGGAUCAAACAGUAUUAGAUACCCGAGUAGUC
RNAcentral lists this ribosomal RNA (301 nucleotides) under uncultured Pyrobaculum sp. RNAcentral's name for it is "bacterial SSU rRNA". The stretch from base 53 to 301 matches the Rfam family "Bacterial small subunit ribosomal RNA", at positions 547 to 795 of the family's 1533-position model. The record is from RNAcentral. Lineage: Archaea; Thermoproteati; Thermoproteota; Thermoprotei; Thermoproteales; Thermoproteaceae.